Schistosoma margrebowiei is the source of this 45-nucleotide non-coding RNA. NCBI's taxonomy places the organism in Eukaryota, Metazoa, Platyhelminthes, Trematoda, Strigeidida, Schistosomatidae. The record is from Rfam.
ACCCAGCUGACGAGUCCCAAAAAGGACGAAACGUACCUCCUAUAU